UGCUUCUGUCGAAUUACUGCGAAAGGGGCAUGAUUUUCUUAAGAUCUCUAGUCUGAUUUGGUUGUAGAAAACAUUUCGAUGCUGGAAGAAGCAGUGGCAAGGGAGACCUGAAUAGUGGCCAGGAAGACAUGAACAGGACUCCGGAGAGCACAUGCACAAUUUUUCUGCUCAGGUUCUGAGAUUAAUUAUGAAAAGAAUCAGAAGUUAACAAGAUAUAAUUAAGAAAGCAGUCCAUCUGAACCAGUCAGAUCUUCCCAGCAAUUGAAAAUAAAUUCAAGAUACAGAUCACAUCCACUGAAUUGUAUAUACCAUAUUUUACUCUCCGGAUAACAGUCAACAGAGCUAAAGAAUUGAUAUUUUUUGAAGAAUGGCGGAGAUCAAAGCUUCAGCUCCACCUCAAAAAAAAAAGAAAUACAAAAAAAAAGGAAAAACGAGAUCCGACACCUGUUCGAUGAGCCGCCGCGCCGUGAGCCCGUCGAAGGCGCGCACCAGGGAGUACGCGCCCGCGGUGAUGAGCAGCGUGGCGGCGCAGU
Oryza sativa Japonica Group (Japanese rice) is the source of this 533-nucleotide non-coding RNA. The record is from RefSeq and is a predicted model, not a curated record. NCBI's taxonomy places the organism in Eukaryota, Viridiplantae, Streptophyta, Magnoliopsida, Poales, Poaceae.